AUACUUACCCAGAUAUCAUGAUUGUGAAGGUGAUUUUCCCAGGGAAAAACUUAUCUUUUACACUCUGGAUAUAUUGAUUCCUGUGAUUUCCCCAAAUGUGGGAAACUUCACUGCAUAAUUUGUGGUAGUGGGGGACUGCAUUCAUACUCUCCCCUG
RNAcentral lists this small nuclear RNA (156 nucleotides) under Dasypus novemcinctus (nine-banded armadillo). RNAcentral describes it as "U1 spliceosomal RNA (ENSDNOG00000028602.1)". It matches the Rfam family "U1 spliceosomal RNA". Rfam says of the family: U1 is a small nuclear RNA (snRNA) component of the spliceosome (involved in pre-mRNA splicing). Its 5' end forms complementary base pairs with the 5' splice junction, thus defining the 5' donor site of an intron. Lineage: Eukaryota; Metazoa; Chordata; Mammalia; Cingulata; Dasypodidae. The record is from RNAcentral.